This 288-nucleotide long non-coding RNA is filed under the name Lathyrus oleraceus (garden pea). RNAcentral describes it as "Pisum sativum (pea) long non-coding RNA (PSAT_LNC041175)". The record is from RNAcentral. Lineage: Eukaryota; Viridiplantae; Streptophyta; Magnoliopsida; Fabales; Fabaceae.
UUUGUGUUUGCUGGCUCUAUGCUUUUGCAUGGAACGGUGAACACCACAAUCCUAGUCAUUUUUCAUCGUGUGCAUUCGGUGUUUGUUUACGUGUUCCUGUUUGUCUUGCCUAUAAAAUGGUAAACAAGUGGCCCGUUAGGUUUUAACCAUCCCAUACCAUUUCUUGGUGUUGCGGUGGCUUUUGAAGUGAUGCGUGUGUGCCGUUUUAGAUGUUGUAUGUGACGUCUCUUGCGGUAUGCAUGUAUUCACUGAUUUCUUGGAGGCGGUACUUGAGAUGACCUUUGGUUU